RNAcentral lists this long non-coding RNA (2975 nucleotides) under Salmo salar (Atlantic salmon). Its description in RNAcentral is "lncRNA (ENSSSAG00000106637.1)". Lineage: Eukaryota; Metazoa; Chordata; Actinopteri; Salmoniformes; Salmonidae. The record is from RNAcentral.
UUUUGCUUUCGCUGUAAAGCCUUUUUGAAAUCGGACAGUGUGGUUAGAUAAAGGAGAGUCUUGUCUUUAAAAUGGUGUAAAAUAGUCACGUGUUUGAAAAAUGGACGUUUUCGGAUUUUCGAGGACUUUGUAUUUCGCGCCACGCCCAUCAUUGGAUAUUGGAGCAGGUGUUCCGCUAGCGGAACGUCUAGAUGUAAGAGGUUAAUAUGGGCACAUUUUUUCCAAAAUUGUCAAUACUGCCCCCUAUCCCUAAAGGGCUGUAAGGGGUUGACUCCAUCUAAUCCAGAAGUUCUGUGCGUCGAUGAAUCCACGUACGUCCACCGAAUCUGUUACCUUUCAUCUGAACUAUCUGUUGCGAUCGGGAGAGCGGGCCAUCAGUUAUUGUUUAUAGUUAAUACCGCAGAGCGCGGCUUGGAGCGCACGCUUCAAACCUAUUAUGUAAUGUAAAUGGUCAAUGAUCACGGCCCUACAGAUCAUCACAGGCCAAUUAUGCCAUCGAUAUAUGGUUAAUAUGGAAUGAAAUUACAUGUACAUACGAAGACAAACUUGAAAGGGUGAAAUAUGAAAUGUCAUUGUUUGCUGAACUGAUCAAUUCUGAUAUCAAACUAAUGGGGAUUAUAGAUUGAAUAACCGAUCACUGAUUGAAUUAUUUGUAUUAUUCUUCUCAUGAUUAUGAUGAAUAGUUACGAGCCUAAAUGACUCAAGGAUGGUUCCUUACUGAACUGAAUUUCUGAAUUACCUCAUUAUGUUAAUAAUGAAUGAUUGUUAUGAUUUGAUCUUUGAUUAUGAAUUUGAUUGGAUACAUGUUAUUCUGUUUCCUUUGUUAUGAAUUUGAUUGGAUACAUGUUAUUCUGUUUCCUUUGUUAUGCAGCACAGACUUCCUUUAUGAUUAAAGGAAUUCCUGCCUCAGUCUCAUCCAUUCCUCUGUCACCUGACCCGUGACCACCUGUUCACCUUCACUGUCAGUCAUCCUACCUGUCCAGCUACCCACACAGAUUCCACUAAUCUUCAAUGGUCCUUCGAGCCGGAUGAAGACUGAACCAAAGACAGGUGAAAAGGAAAGGGAGGAGAGGGAAGAAUUGGUUCUCUUAAGGAUUGUGUGGUGGCGUUUCCCACAUCAACGGGCAAGCCCACCAGAGCUCAAAGUGGCGAUGGAUCAACUGUACGUUUCAGCCAUCAACCAUCCCCUCUGAGCCAAGGACCAGAAACUGCUUUGGGAUGGGAAAGUGGUCUACAGGAAGAACCCAUGGAGGAGGUAACUCCCACAGCACAGGUCAACCAGCUUCCUGAGGCAGGCUCCGCUCACCCCUUAAGUAAUGGGAAAUCAUCACUCUACAUGGAGUGAGAGUUCGACCAGUGGAUACCCCUUUGGAAGUGGCCAUGGCAGCCGCCAUUCACUAGCCCUCAGUGAUUCACAGACCGCUGUCCUACGAGAGAGGAUGAAACUACUAGCGUUGGAGGAAAUUGAGCGUCAGAUUGAGGAGGAACGACAGGCUGAUGAACAGUGUCACCUAUUGGAUGUGCAGGCCCGUAGAGCGCUACAGGAACGGGAAUUCAUUGCCAAGGAGCUGGCACAGCAGCGACGGCACCGUCAAGCCAGCAGGGAAUUGGAGGAGGCACGGAUGGUCUCAUCCUUCCUGGAGAGGAACAAACAGCCAACAUGGAGCACGGGGGACAAGCCACUCCACCAAUGCCCUCUAUGCCAAUGACACAAGUCAGCAUUCCUCCUCCAUCUAGACAAAGCACCACUCCUUCGCCUUUCCGCCAAUUACCAACCACGGCAAAUCGUUCCUCUCAUCCAGGGCCUGGGCCAGGCCAGUCAUCAACCAUCAGGUGGGAGGGCUCUCAACCAAUUCAGGCUGCCACCAAUGGAGGGUCUGGGACAGUAGUGGACAGGCCCAAUGAGGCCACAGUGAGCUCAUCAGCAUUCCCGGGUUUAUCCUUCACGCAACCAGAAGAGUGACCUAACAUCAUGAAACUGCCUAUGGAAUUCCCAGACCCAAACUGCCAUACUUUGACAGCGGAAAGGAGAGUGAUUUUGUCCUUUUGGAAAUGGCAUUGGAGAGCCUACUGGGUAUUCACAGUCAUCUGUCAGAACGCUACAAAUACCAAGUACUGAUGGAUCACUUGCGGUUUCCCAGUGCAUACAAGCUGGCCAAAUCCUUUAUGCCCUCCGCAACACCAUACACUGCUGCUCUCCAGGCCCUGAAAGCGAGAUAUGGUGAGCCACGCCAGCUAGUCCAGAAUGAACUAAACUACAUCCUGAACACGUCUCCAAUCAAAAUGGGAGACCAUGCUGCUGUAACCGAUGUGAAAUGGCUAGCUAGUUAGCGGGGUGCACACUAGUAAAUGGUCAUUCUCCCCUGUCAUCAGUGAUGCUCUCCUGAGACUCUCUCCAGUGUUUCUCUCCAGUGAACAGAGGGACAGGAUAUAGUUUAUAACCCAGCCCUAGCCCGUGGUUGACCAAUUAGAAUUCCUUGCAAUAAAACUCUAUCCUAUUUCAGGUUGGACCAGUGAGAACGUGCUACACCAUAAGUUCAGGACUGACAUUCCUAACAGAUGUUGAACUAAAAACCAACUAUUUCCAUUGAUAAUUCCCUAUUACAGAAAAAACACUAUUUCCAUUAAUCGUUAUUACUCUAUGUCUCUGUUAUGUGUAUUUAUCUUCGAAAUAUUCUUAUACUAUUAUGAUGCUAAUUCUUUAGUGGGCUGAAAGAGCGGGCAAUUCUUAGGUUGUAUCUACCUCGGUCAAAUACACAUUUGCUGUAACAUUUGCUAAUACAAAGGGUAUUAUACACAGCAGGCCUACCUGAAUAAAAUGUCAAAACAUGGGUUGUGACUUAUUUGUAUGGUAUCCUUUGUGACUGUGAAAAAAAACAGGACAAGUACAGGCUUCUGCUGUUUCAAUAUUAGAACAAACAGUCUGAGAGAAAUAAAGAUAAUGUUGGUCAACACUGUACACACACAGUUGGGGG